This 468-nucleotide ribosomal RNA is filed under the name uncultured bacterium. Its description in RNAcentral is "partial 16S ribosomal RNA". It matches the Rfam family "Bacterial small subunit ribosomal RNA", at positions 28 to 507 of the family's 1533-position model. The record is from RNAcentral.
GACGAACGCUGGCGGCGUGCUUAACACAUGCAAGUCGAACGGAAAGGCCCUGCUUUUGUGGGGUGCUCGAGUGGCGAACGGGUGAGUAACACGUGAGUAACCUGCCCUUGACUUUGGGAUAACUUCAGGAAACUGGGGCUAAUACCGGAUAGCAGCUCCUGCUGCAUGGUGGGGGUUGGAAAGUUUCGGCGGUUGGGGAUGGACUCGCGGCUUAUCAGCUUGCUGGUGGGGUAGUGGCUUACCAAGGCUUUGACGGGUAGCCGGCCUGAGAGGGUGACCGGCGACAUUGGGACUGAGAUACGGCCCAGACUCCUACGGGAGGCAGCAGUGGGGAAUAUUGCCCAGUGGGAGGACGCCUGAUGCAGCAACGGCGCGUGCGGGAUGACGGCCUUCGGGUUGUAAACCGCUUUCGCCUGUGACGAAGCGUGAGUGACGGUAAUGGGUAAAGAAGCACCGGCUAACUACGUG